AAAAAAGCAAACCCUAGAUUUUUGUGUCCAACUUUGACUGUCCAUCUUAUAUGAAAAUUUUUUAUAAUUCGUAUUUUUAUUGUUGUUAGAUGAUAAAACAUGAUUAAUAUUUUAUGCAUGACUUGUCUUUUUAAUUUUUUUCAUAAUUUUUUCAAAUAAAACGGACGGUCAAACGUUGGACACGGAAACCAGGGUUUGUCUUUUU
Non-coding RNA from Oryza nivara, 205 nucleotides. Lineage: Eukaryota; Viridiplantae; Streptophyta; Magnoliopsida; Poales; Poaceae. The record is from Rfam.